GUGGGGAAUAUUGGGCAAUGGGCGCAAGCCUGACCCAGCAACGCCGCGUGAAGGAAGAAGGCUUUCGGGUUGUAAACUUCUUUUACCAGGGACGAAACAAAUGACGGUACCUGGUGAAUAAGCCACGGCUAACUACGUGCCAGCAGCCGCGGUAAUACGUAGGUGGCGAGCGUUAUCCGGAUUUAUUGGGUGUAAAGGGCGUGUAGGCGGGACAGCAAGUCAGAUGAGAAAACCAGAGGCUCAACCUCUGGCCUGCAUUUGAAACUGUUGUUCUUGAGUGUCGGAGAGGUAAUCGGAAUUCCGUGUGUAGCGGUGAAAUGCGUAGAUAUACGGAGGAACACCAGUGGCGAAGGCGGAUUACUGGACGAUAACUGACGCUGAGGCGCGAAAGCGUGGGGAGCAAACAGGAUUAGAUACCCUAGUAUCC
RNAcentral lists this ribosomal RNA (427 nucleotides) under uncultured bacterium. RNAcentral's name for it is "partial 16S ribosomal RNA". It matches the Rfam family "Bacterial small subunit ribosomal RNA", at positions 354 to 795 of the family's 1533-position model. The record is from RNAcentral.